RNAcentral lists this ribosomal RNA (506 nucleotides) under uncultured Glomeromycotina. Its description in RNAcentral is "partial small subunit ribosomal RNA". It matches the Rfam family "Eukaryotic small subunit ribosomal RNA", at positions 591 to 1092 of the family's 1831-position model. The record is from RNAcentral. Lineage: Eukaryota; Fungi; Glomeromycota.
CCAAUAGCGUAUAUUAACGUUGUUGCAGUUAAAAAGCUCGUAGUUGAAUUUCGGGAUUGACACAUCGGUCGUGCCUUAAGGGGUAUGAACUGGUGUAGUCAAUUUCUCACCUUCUGGAGAACCGCGAUGCCCUUAAUUGGGUGUCGCGGGGAACCAGGACCUUUACUUUGAAAAAAUUAGAGUGUUUAAAGCAGGCAUUUUGCUUGAAUACAUUAGCAUGGAAUAAUAAAAUAGGACGGCAUGAUUCUAUUUUGUUGGUUUCUAGGAUCACCGUAAUGAUUAAUAGGGAUAGUUGGGGGCAUUAGUAUUCAAUUGUCAGAGGUGAAAUUCUUGGAUUUAUUGAAGACUAACUACUGCGAAAGCAUUUGCCAAGGAUGUUUUCAUUAAUCAAGAACGAAAGUUAGGGGAUCGAAGACGAUCAGAUACCGUCGUAGUCUUAACCAUAAACUAUGCCGACUAGGAAUCAGACGAUGUUAAUUUUUUAAUGACUCGUUUGGCACCUUACG